CAGAGUUGUAAAACUCCCAAACCCAUGUGAAACAUACCUGUUGCCUCGGUGGCCUACCCGGUAGCUACCCUGUAGCUACCCUGUAGUCCGCCGGUGGAAUUCAAAACUCUUGUUUUCAGUUGUCAUCUCUGAGAAUAAAACAAAUAAAUCA
RNAcentral lists this unclassified non-coding RNA (151 nucleotides) under soil metagenome. Its description in RNAcentral is "partial internal transcribed spacer 1". The record is from RNAcentral.